CAGUCUGCUACAGCAGCACAACAUCCUCCAUCAUUGUGGGACAGUCUUUGGACAACAUCCUGGUGUUCAGAGUGGAAUAGUGUGUACAUUCGCUGCUGAGUCAGGACAAGGAUGCUGAGGAUGUGGUGGACAAGGAUGACCUGAAUACACAGAAGCAAUUGCUGAGCACAGCGGAAGACUGUUUAAUGAAAGGCUCAGCCGUAUCAAAGUCCAGCAAUGUGCGGGGACGCGGCCUAUCCAUAUCCAUAUAUUACAUCAUUUUAGCUGUCACUAACAAGGGAGAUAACUGUAGAUCUGCACCAGCACAACUGCUAAGCACAGAAGACAAAGGAGUAGUGAAAGGCUCAGCCAAAUCAAAGUCCAGUGAUGUGAGGGUGACACAGCCUUUCAAGUCCUCGUAUUGCAACAUGAAGGACAUUUUAGCUGAAACUAACUAGGGAGAGAACUGUAGAUCUGCACCAGCACAGAGCACCAGCAUUAAUAUCGAGUUGGCCCAGCAACCACACCAGUCCUGCCUGCAGAAGCCCCAGUCCAGAUUGACCCUCCCCCUCCAUUGACUUCUAACUCCUCCCCCUUGACCUCCUGCCUCAAAAAGUCAGCAUCGUUGAACAACUCUGUUCUGCAGGAAAUUCUUAGGGUGAUUCUGUUCUGACAAACGCAAUGCCCACGUCACGUUUUCCAAACAUAAGCCUGGGUAGUUUUGUUAAGCUAGAGUACCGCGUGGGCCUGAAAGGGACGAGUGUUACAGACACGAAAAGUUAUAGCAGUAGUUAUGGUAACGCUAACAGUCAGUUGUUGCUGUUGGACAUCACAACAAAUAUCAUGAAGAAUAAAAAGUUCAAUCACUUGUUCCAAUCUUUAUGGGACAAACAGAAAUUGAACAGGAGAGAAUCAAGGAACAAUAAAAGCGUGAGCUUUCCUAGUGGCAUACGUCUGCUGUUGAUAGUUUGGACAACAGUAGGGUUACGGACUGCCCCAGAUUGUCCUCUCAGCGGCCAAAAUAUUAUAAUAGAACAGACUUUUGGCAAUGUUACUGACAAAAAAAGGCAAAAAUGACUUGGUUGUGAACACCAAGAGCGCGAUACAUCCAUGCUGACACAGAAAGGCGGUAAUAACUUGGUUUUGAAAACCCAGAGCACAAUACAUCCAUGCUGACACAGAAAGGAAGUAAUGACUUGGUUGUGAACACCCAGAGCACGAUACAUCCAUGCUGACACAGAAAAUAAGUAAUGACUUGGUUGUGAACACCCAGAGCAAGAUAUAUCCAUGCUGUUACAGAAAGGCAGUAAUGACUAUGCUGUGAACACCCAGAGCACAAUACAUCCAUGCUGACACAGAAAGGCAUUAAUGACUUGGUUGGGAACACCCAGAGCACAAUACAUCCAUGCUGACACAGAAAGGCAGUAAUGACUUGGCUGUGAACACAGAACACGAUACACCCAUGCUGACACAGAAAGGCAGUAAUGACUUGGCUGUGAACACAGAGCACAAUACAUCCAUGCUGAAACAGAAAGGCAGUCAUGACUAUGCUGUGAACACCCAGAGCACGAUAUAUCCAUGCUGACACAGAAAGACAGUAAUGACUAUGCUGUGAACACCCAGAGCAAGAUAUAUCCAUGCUGACACAGAAAGGCAGUAAUGACUAUGCAGUGAACACCCAGAUAAAGAAUUAUCCAUGCUGACACAGAAAGGCAGUAAUGACUAUGCAGUGAACACCCAGAGCAAGAUAUAUCCAUGCUGACUCAGAAAGGCAGUAAUGACUAUGCUGUGAACACCCACAGAGAGAUAUAUCCAUGCUGACACAGAAUGGCAGUCAUGACUAUGCUGUGAACACCAAGAGCACGAUAUGUCCAUGCUGACUCAGAAAGGCAGUAAUGACUAUGCUGUGAACACCCACAGAGAGAUAUAUCCAUGCUGACACAGAAAGGCAGUAAUGACUAUGCUGUGAACACCCAAAACACAAUACAUCCAUGCUGACACAGAAAGGCAGUAAUGACUUGGUUGUGAACACCAGGAGCAAGAUAUAUCACAUGCUGACACAGGAAGGCAGUAAUGACUUGGCUGUAAACACAGAACACAAUACACCCAUGCUGACACAGAAAGGCAGUAAUGACUUGGCUGUAAACACAGAACACAUUACACCCAUGCUGACACAGAAAGGCAGUAAUGACUUGGCUGUGAACACAGAGCUUAAUACAUCCAUGCUGACACAGAAAGGCAGUAAUGACUUGGCUGUAAACACAGAGCACAAUACAUCCAUGCUGACACAGAAAGGCAGUAAUGACUUGGCUGUAAACACAGAGCACAAUACAUCCAUGCUGACACAGAAAGGCAGUUAUGACUUGGUUGUGAACACAGAGCACAAUACAUCCUUGUUGACACAGAAAGGCAGUAGUGACUUUGCUGUGAACUCAGAGCACGAUACAUCCAUGCUGACACAGAAAGGCAGUAAAGACUUGGUUGUAAACACCCAGAGCACAAUACAUCCAUGCUGACACAGACAGGCAGUAAAGACUUUGUUGUAAACACUAAGAGAUCCAUACAUCCAUGGGGUGUGCCACAGCCGCAAAUUACGCCCACUAUUAUGAACAAGGUUCUUAAAGUGAACACGUCUGGUUUGGUUAUGAGCACAUAGCACUCCAAGCCCAAAAGGCCUCGCAUUAAAUUGAUGCAAGAGAAGGCUUUGGAAAAUAACAGCAGUUUUGUUGUGUGGUCCAGUACGCCCUUCGACUCGCAACCUAAAGAAAGCAGAACUCAAACUCGUCUCUUAGCAAUAUCAGCAAGGCUAGCAUGUCAUCUCAGCUUCUUGAACUUCAGUGAACUUUACUAGCAAACAUGACUAACGUCAUUGAAGUGAAAGUCGAUGACAACCCCCUUCUUGCACAAAUACCAAAUUGCUUAAGAAAUUCAGCAUGAAGACGUCUUGCGUCAGACUACCAAGCCUCCUAUCAAUAUCUUCUCCCAUGUUGGCUACAUCAACACUUCCAACAGCAGAGCCUUGGUGAGUUCGACUUCCGUCUCGGCAUCGAUGUCGCUUAGCAACAAUUGGAUGAUUGCGUCGACAAAUUAGGCCGGACAAGUUGCUCGAACUGAAACGAUCUGAUUCAACAGGUAGAGCAGGCGUUGCCUGACACGUCCGUUAAUGUGACUGACCACGAUAUGUUGUUCUCGAAAAAUGUGAACCUUAGGCCUGGAGAGCAGUAUGCGAUUGACGCCAUUCAACAACAGUUGUUGUCGGCAAUUCUUGGGUUUGGGGUGGCGACUUCGGCGUCGGGACUCACUCCAUCUCUGUCUAUGGCCCAGUCGCAGCAGCAACAAGAACAAUAAGUACUAUCUUAGCGGUGUUCUGCGAUUUGGGGAUUCAUGUAUGUGCUUAAAUUGUCAUCCCAGAUUAGCCUGUGCAGACUGCACAUACAUUAAGCCCUAUUAAAGUGUCAUCCCAUAUUAGUCUGUGCAGACUGCACAUACAUUAAGUCCUAUUAAAGUGUCAUCUCAGAUUAGCCUGUGCAGACUGCACAUACAUUUAGUCCUAUUAAAGUGUCAUCCCUGAUUAGCCUGUGCAGACUGCACAUACAUUAAGUCCUAUUAAAGUGUCAUCUCAGAUUAGCCUGUGCAGACUGCACAUGCAUUUAGUCCUAUUAAAGUGUCAUCCCAGAUUAGCCUGUGCAGACUGCACAUACAUUUAGUCCUAUUAAAGUGUCAUCUCAGAUUAGCCUGUGCAGACUGCACAUACAUUAAGUCCUAUUAAAGUGUCAUCCCAGAUUAGCCUGUGCAGACUGCACAUACAUUAAGCCCUAUUAAAGUGUCAUCUCAGAUUAGCCUGUGCAGACUGCACAUACAUUAAGUCCUAUCAAAGUGUCAUCCCAGAUUAGCCUAUGCAGACUGCACAUACAUAAAGUCCUAUUAAAGUGUCAUCCCAGAUUAGCCUAUGCAGACUGCAUAUACAUUAAGUCCUAUUAAAGUGUCAUCCCUGAUUAGCCUGUGCAGACUGCACAUGCAUUAAGCCCUAUUAAAGUGUCAUCUCAGAUAAGCCUGUGCAGACUGCACAUACAUUAAGCCCUAUUAAAGUGUCAUCCCAGAUUAGCCUGUGCAGACUGCACAUACAUUAAGCCGUAUUAAAGUGUCAUCCCAUAUUAGCCUGUGCAGACUGCACAUACAUUAAGUCCUAUUAAAGUGUCAUCCCAGAUUAGCCUGUGCAGACUGCACAUACAUUUAGUCCUAUUAAAGUGUCAUCCCUGAUUAGCCUGUGCAGACUGCACAUGCAUUAAGCCCUAUUAAAGUGUCAUCUCAGAUUAGCCUGUGCAGACUGCACAUACAUUAAGCCCUAUUAAAGUGUCAUCCCAGAUUAGCCUGUGCAGACUGCACAUACAUUAAGCCAUAUUAAAGUGUCAUCCCAUAUUAGCCUGUGCAGACUGCACAUACAUAAAAACCUAUAAAAGUGUCAUCUCAGAUUAUCCUGUGCAGACUGCACAUACAUUAAGUCCUAUUAAAGUGUCAUAUCAGAUUAGCCUGUGCAGACUGCACAUACAUAAAGUCCUAUUAAAGUGUCAUAUCAGAUUAGCCUGUGCAGACUGCACAUACAUUAAGUCAUAUUAAAGUGUCAUCUCAGAUUAGCCUGUGCAGACUGCACAUACAUAAAGUCCUAUAAAAGUGUCAUCCCAGAUUAGCCUGUGCAGACUGCACAUUCAUUUAGCCCUAUUUUCCCAGAAUGAGGCUCAUAUACUACACUUAACAUCAGUAUUUUAUGUGCCUGAAAAGUUCCUAGCAUCAAAUGGGAAUAAUGUACUUUUACAUUGAUCACACUUAGUAAAUACAAUGCAAAUAGCACUUGAUAUGAUAUCAAUUUUAAUCAUAGAAGGUCAGGGCAUUAAGUUUUGUAUAUUUUCGACCGACAUUCAGCCCCUGAACCAAAAGUUAAUCCUUGCAUACAAAUCUGCUUUAAUAUAAUUUUUAAAUUAUAUUUAAUUUUAGUAAAAUAAUUACGUAAAAGCCUUCAGCUCAUUUUAAAAUUAUUUUCUUCAUGUAUUUUCAAUAUUUAUUUAAAUUCUUGGAUUUUGUUUUAAUAGCCUGUUCCUACAGGAACCCAUGCAAUCAUAGAUCGGUACCUAGCUGAACAACAGGCUGUCUGGUCAGCUGGGCCCAGACGCCCAGUGACACUUCCUGGCCCAGGACCUUGGGGCAAAUGCUCAACUAGUCCUACCUGCAGGGUGGAGCCACUCUGAACCUGGGGCUCCAAACUUUCUUGGCCAGCGGCCAAGAUUACCUUGUCAAUAAGAAACCCGGAUAGCAAGGCGUUGAGUUUGUUCUUGAAGCAUUUGCACCAGAAGCAGUCAUCAUCUUGAUAUUCUGGAAUCUCCAUGGUGAAGGACGACCUCAGUCUGUGAACAAAAUGCAGAGCUAACCUCAGAUGCCUUUUGACGAAAUCAAACCAUCCGAUCACAAACACAGACUGUUGCAGCAGUUGUUACCAUAUUGACCGCAGUCAAACCUAAGAAGCUCAGAGAUAAAUACUGAUUUAGUUCUGCUAGUCUCUGCAUACGGCCUGGUUUGGUCAGCACUUACUCUGACUCUUUGAAUAUUAUGACGGAUGGAAAUGAAUGACCUUGUUCAGAUCGAAAUGGCAGAAUGACACAUCACAACAAUUCAAGUGGAAAGCCAGAAAGUCAUGUCAACAGCCACAUUUUGUAUGUCACCAGCCAAGUUGUAUUCAAAGACAAACAAUAGUUUAUGCUCUAUUGUGUAUGUGACCAGCCAAGUUGUAUUCAACGAAAAACAAUAGUUUACGUUUUAUUUUUUAUGUGACCUACCAAGUUGUUUGUAUAGGUCCCUGGUUUAGCAAAGCAUUUAAAGUAUUUUUAAAAGCACACAUAUUGCAUGUCAAUUCAAUGUCUUUGCCUGUAUUAUGAAACUUUCACUACAGAUGUUGAUCCUCAUGAUGGUAAAUAAAUGGGAAAUACAAUGUUAUCAAAGAUUUGUUAAGAUUGCCAAAGCUGUUUAAAUGAUGCUGGUAACUUGAACAAGAUUGAAAAAAACAUUGGAGUGUUUUCAUGUUAUAAGAUAUGUUUCAGUUGUCUGUUUUUAACCCGUUAAUAUAGAUUAGCUAAUGAAAAGUAUUUGUUCAGAAAGGUGUAAAAUGUUUACGCUUCAGAUUUUUGUCAAUCAACCUUAUGAAAACAAUACUAGUCAAUUGGCUCAUUCGGGUCGGUAUUUUAUCAUGAAUCUUUUUUA
This is a long non-coding RNA of Dreissena polymorpha, 6228 nucleotides long. RefSeq lists it as uncharacterized. The record is from RefSeq and is a predicted model, not a curated record. NCBI's taxonomy places the organism in Eukaryota, Metazoa, Mollusca, Bivalvia, Myida, Dreissenidae. The transcript is spliced from 9 exons.